AUUGAACGCUGGCGGCAUGCCUUACACAUGCAAGUCGAACGGCAGCACGGGAGCAAUCCUGGUGGCGAGUGGCGAACGGGUGAGUAAAGUAUCGGAACGUGCCCAGUCGUGGGGGAUAACGUAGCGAAAGUUACGCUAAUACCGCAUACGAUCUAUGGAUGAAAGCGGGGGAUCGCAAGACCUCGCGCGAUUGGAGCGGCCGAUAUCAGAUAGGUAGUUGGUGGGGUAAAGGCUCACCAAGCCGACGAUCUGUAGCUGGUCUGAGAGGACGACCAGCCACACGGGGACUGAGACACGGCCCAGACUCCGACGGGAGGCAGCAGUGGGGAAUUUUGGACAAUGGGCGAAAGCCUGAUCCAGCCAUGCCGCGUGCAGGAUGAAGGCCUUCGGGUUGUAAACUGCUUUUGUACGGAACGAAAAGGUUUGGGCUAAUAAGCUGAGCUCAUGACGGUACCGUAAGAAUAAGCACCGGCUAACUACGUGCCAGCCGCCGCCGUAA
RNAcentral lists this ribosomal RNA (499 nucleotides) under uncultured bacterium. RNAcentral describes it as "partial 16S ribosomal RNA". It matches the Rfam family "Bacterial small subunit ribosomal RNA", at positions 29 to 523 of the family's 1533-position model. The record is from RNAcentral.